UGCGUGGAGAACGUGACUGAACCAGGCCAGCUGCUGGAGGCAGACCUGCCUGUGGAGAGACCCCCCGAGACCCUGGGGGAGGCGGCGCAGGACACCCAGCAAGGUGGAGCGGAGGGGAGUGUCUGCAGCCGCUGCUGCACCCGGAUCCCCACUCCCCACCACUGUCCUGCUCCCAGUGGGGACUCGAGGGGGAUACAGCUGUGCAUGUCCUGCAUGGGCACCCUGGACACAGGCGGUCUAGGAACCACUGCAGCAGCUGGAGACCAACUGCUUCCAGCAGCCAAGGCAGAGGAUGGAGCCCUUGGCAGUGACCCUGUGCUGAGCCGGGAGGAGCUUGACGCGCUGCUAGGGGAGGUAAGACUGCGUGACACCAACAGGCAGACUCCAUGCAAAGGGGACCAUGUCUCUGGUGUGGCCCACAGGGGGUCAUGGGCACAUGGGUCAGGCAGCAUGUGCCUGGACAGGGGAAAGGAUGUGGGAUGGAAAGAGAAAAUGAACACCGGGGGCUAUCCCACAGAGCACGUGGGAUGGGAUCUUGCAGUGGGCAUUCCAGACCAUGGCACGGCCGCUGGCAGAAACACAGGGGCUCCUUGCCUAGUGCAGACACCAAGCAGCACAAUCCACAUGGCAACCAAUGAGAAAGAAAGCUCGGAGACACACGUAAAACAAGAUGAAUGCAGGCAUAAUGAUAGCACAAAGAAGUCACAGAAUACAACACUGACCGUCAACAGGACAACCGACAAUGGCACAAACAGAGCAAAAUGGCAGGCUACACCCACUGACACUCAGCAGAGAACAAGCGCACUGAAAAUGUACAUAAAAUACAGGCCAGAGCAAAUAAAAUUCA
RNAcentral lists this long non-coding RNA (847 nucleotides) under Zonotrichia albicollis (white-throated sparrow). RNAcentral's name for it is "lncRNA (ENSZALG00000010745.1)". Lineage: Eukaryota; Metazoa; Chordata; Aves; Passeriformes; Passerellidae. The record is from RNAcentral.